AUUAUUUUGUAAAGACAUUUUUAUAAAAUAUAUGGAAGCUUCAAUUUUUCUUAGAACAUACUACAUUGAAGAACUUUUGUUAAUUUAAAAACAUCAUCUUCCGCUUCAAAUCAAGGUCUUACGCUUAAUAACCGUAAAACUGGUAUUGAACUUACAAUGUCAUUAGCUGAGUUUCAAAAAUGUGUAUUGAACACAUUGUCUACUAUGAAAUAUGACAUAAAUUGUUGUGUACUUACUAAUCAACAAAUUAAUGCUAACAUGAAUGCAUUGCUGGAAAAUUUAAACAAAAAUGCAGUAAUAUCAGAUGAUGGUUUUAAUGAUUAUGACUUAAAUGAUAUACUUCCAAUCGAAAAUCAUGAAUCUCUACAAGAAUUUGAAUUCAAGCUCCAAAAAAAAAAAAUGAAAAUAAUUUUAAAACUAUAAUAGUACACAAAUUGUCAUUGCUUGUUACUAAUAAAAGUGUAGGUGACUCAAUGAAGCGUUUAUUGUCCACAAUGUUUAAUGAUAAAGUUCUUGAAAGUUACUCAACAUAUGUCUUUAAAAAAAGAUUGAUAUUUUCUUCAUUGUAUACUCAUCAACUUCUAUUUGGUAAUUAUAAUUUUUAGCAGUUAUAGAAAAUGAUUGAUACUUUUUUAA
Long non-coding RNA from Rhopalosiphum maidis (corn leaf aphid), 636 nucleotides. RefSeq lists it as uncharacterized. NCBI's taxonomy places the organism in Eukaryota, Metazoa, Arthropoda, Insecta, Hemiptera, Aphididae. The record is from RefSeq and is a predicted model, not a curated record. The transcript has 4 exons.